This 29-nucleotide non-coding RNA is filed under the name Mus musculus (house mouse). Lineage: Eukaryota; Metazoa; Chordata; Mammalia; Rodentia; Muridae. The record is from RNAcentral.
UCCUCUCUUGUGCUAGUAACUCCAUGGUC